CAGUCGCCGCGGUAACACGGAGGGGGCUAGCGUUGUUCGGAAUUACUGGGCGUAAAGCGCACGUAGGCGGCUUUGUAAGUUAGAGGUGAAAGCCUGGAGCUCAACUCCAGAAUUGCCUUUAAGACUGCAUCGCUUGAAUCGCGGAGAGGUGAGUGGAAUUCCGGGUGUAGAGGUGAAAUUCGUAGAUAUUCGGAAGAACACCAGUGGCGAAGGCGGCUCACUGGACGCGUAUUGACGCUGAGGUGCGAAAGCGUGGGGAGCAAACAGGAUUAGAUACCCCGGUAGUCCCUGUCUCUUAUAC
Molecule: ribosomal RNA, 301 nt
Filed under: uncultured bacterium
Lineage: Bacteria
Description: partial 16S ribosomal RNA
Rfam family: Bacterial small subunit ribosomal RNA
Source: RNAcentral